GUAAGUGCCUAAUUAUCCGAUUUUGAGCCUAGUGACAACUUUAUGAGAUAGGCGAUUCCAGUUGUAGAGAGGAGCAGUGAACUAAGAGAGCUUAAAGGGCUGCCCCGGGUCACGUAGCUAGUGAGUUGCAGGGCCAAAUUUUGAAGCUAAGCACAGUACCCUCCUCGCCCUGACAAGCCACCUCUGAUCCUAACUCGGGCCUAACUAGAAUAGGCUCGAAGGGUUGACCCACCUUUAGAAGAGGUGCCUCUCAGAACCUGGAAGACAGGACUCGCUUGCUCUGUAAUGUUUCUGGUCUGGUACUGAUGGAAAAGGAGCAGCCAGAAGUGGAAGAGAAGAAAUCAGGACCCAGGGAGAGGAUGUGAUGAGUCCAGGGCCACACUGAGAGAUAUCAGACAGCCUGUGAUUUCACCAUAUGGGAACUCCUUUUCUUGCAUAUGUAGAUAAUUCCUGACAAUUGUGUUUAGUUAUUUCCUGUGUGACUCACUUUGAACAAAUCUGGUGGAAGUUAUGGUGUAUGACUUUUGAGACUAGGUCAUAAAAAGUAUUGUGGCUUCCUUCUUGCUGUCUCUCUUGGAUCACUAACCCUGGAAGAGGCCAAUUGCCAUGUUGGAAGGACACCAAAGCCACCUUAUGGAGAAAUUCACAUGCAAAGGAAUUGAGGCCUCUGGCCAACAACGGGUGAGGUGGCCUCUUGCUACCAACCAUGUGAGUGCGCAAUCUUGGAAGCAGAUGUUCCAUGGCUCGCUCACGCCUUCCGAUGACUGCAGCCCCAGCAGAUAGCCCCAGCUGAUAUCUUGACUGAAGCUUCACGGGAGACCCCGGGCCAGAACCACCUAGCCAAGUCACUCCAGAAUUCCUGGCCCUGAGACAAUAUAAGAUGUUUGUCAUUUUAAGCUUACAACCUUUGGGGUAAUUGUUACACAGCAAUUGAUAACUAAUAAUACUAUUAAAUGUCUUAUUGUGGAAGAAAUGUUUUACGUAGAGGAAAAUAGCCAUAUUUUUACAGUUGGGAUUAAUAAUUUGAUAAAAAAAUGAAUAAAACACUUUAUGCUUUACCAUUUACUGGGCAGCUGAUUUUGCUAAAUCUCAUCCAGGACCAGUUAAGAUCCUUAAAAACUG
Molecule: long non-coding RNA, 1122 nt
Filed under: Equus caballus (horse)
Lineage: Eukaryota; Metazoa; Chordata; Mammalia; Perissodactyla; Equidae
Description: lncRNA (ENSECAG00000050750.1)
Source: RNAcentral